UAACUCUGGUUUCUCUUCAUCCAUUCGGAUAAAUCUUUCGCCUUUUACUAAAGAUUUCCGUGGAGAGGAACAUCACAAUGAGUCUAAUGACUAAUUUCUUACACCCUGAAUUGACAGGGUU
Molecule: small nuclear RNA, 121 nt
Filed under: Haliotis rubra (blacklip abalone)
Lineage: Eukaryota; Metazoa; Mollusca; Gastropoda; Lepetellida; Haliotidae
Description: U5 spliceosomal RNA
Rfam family: U5 spliceosomal RNA
About the family: U5 RNA is a component of both types of known spliceosome. The precise function of this molecule is unknown, though it is known that the 5' loop is required for splice site selection and p220 binding, and that both the 3' stem-loop and the Sm site are important for Sm protein binding and cap methylation.
Source: RNAcentral